UGGAUUCAAAGGACAAUAUUCUUUUUCAUAGGUAAUUUCUCACUAUCAGUGUAAAGAGCAGCGUGAUGCCCAUAGAUUUGAGAAAAUAAGCAACAUUAUUAAGCAGUUCAAGCUGAGCUGCAGCAAGCUGGCUGCCUCUUUCCAGAGUAUGGAAGUCAGGAACUCUAACUUCGCUGCUUUCAUUGACAUCUUUACAUCCAACACUUAUGUGAUGGUUGUGAUGUCUGAUCCGUCCAUUCCUUCUGCAGCUACUCUGAUCAACAUCCGCAAUGCCAGGAAACACUUUGAAAAGCUGGAAAGAGUGGAUGGACCAAAGCAGUGUCUUCUCAUGCGCUAAACAUUGAUGAAUAUUGUUUCACACAAAAAUGAAAAGUUU
Molecule: small RNA, 376 nt
Filed under: Pongo abelii (Sumatran orangutan)
Lineage: Eukaryota; Metazoa; Chordata; Mammalia; Primates; Hominidae
Description: processed transcript
Source: RNAcentral